RNAcentral lists this microRNA precursor (168 nucleotides) under Pelobates cultripes (western spadefoot toad). Lineage: Eukaryota; Metazoa; Chordata; Amphibia; Anura; Pelobatidae. The record is from RNAcentral.
GCAGACACAUUCCAGCCAAUCAGCAGCAGACCCUCCCUCCCAGACCUUCCCACCUCCUGGACAGCAUCCAUUUUACAUUUAUUGUAAAGCUGCAUUCUUAGUGAGCUGUCCAGGAGGUGGGAGGGUCUGGGAGGGAGGGUCUGCUGCUGAUUGGCUGGAAUGUGUCUG